This 249-nucleotide ribosomal RNA is filed under the name Proteus mirabilis. Its description in RNAcentral is "partial 23S ribosomal RNA". It matches the Rfam family "Bacterial large subunit ribosomal RNA", at positions 1 to 242 of the family's 2925-position model. Lineage: Bacteria; Pseudomonadati; Pseudomonadota; Gammaproteobacteria; Enterobacterales; Morganellaceae. The record is from RNAcentral.
GGGUUGUGAGGUUAAGCGAAUAAGCGUACACGGUGGAUGCCUAGGCAAUCAGAGGCGAUGAAGGACGUGCUAAUCUGCGAAAAGCGUCGGUAAGGUGAUAUGAACCGUUAUACCCGACGAUAUCCGAAUGGGGAAACCCAGUAUCCAAUGGAUACUAUCAUUAACUGAAUUCAUAGGUUAAUGAGGCGAACCGGGAGAACUGAAACAUCUCAGUACCCCGAGGAAAAGAAAUCAACCGAGAUUCCCCUA